RNAcentral lists this ribosomal RNA (253 nucleotides) under uncultured bacterium. RNAcentral describes it as "partial 16S ribosomal RNA". It matches the Rfam family "Bacterial small subunit ribosomal RNA", at positions 524 to 776 of the family's 1533-position model. The record is from RNAcentral.
UACGUAGGGCGCAAGCGUUAUCCGGAAUUAUUGGGCGUAAAGAGCUCGUAGGCGGUUUGUCGCGUCUGCUGUGAAAGACCGGGGCUCAACUCCGGUUCUGCAGUGGGUACGGGCAGACUAGAGUGUGGUAGGGGAGACUGGAAUUCCUGGUGUAGCGGUGAAAUGCGCAGAUAUCGGGAGGAACACCUGCGGCGAAGGCGGGUUGCUGGACCGACACUGACGCUGAUGCGCGAAAGCCAGGGGAGCGAACGGG